Molecule: ribosomal RNA, 410 nt
Filed under: uncultured microorganism
Description: bacterial SSU rRNA
Rfam family: Archaeal small subunit ribosomal RNA
Source: RNAcentral
GUGCACCAGGCGAGAAUACUUUACAAUGUGCGAAAGCACGAUAAGGGAACUCUGAGUGCCUCCUAAGGAGGCUGUUCAGGUGUCUAAAAAGCACCUGGAGUAAGGGCUGGGUAAGACCGGUGCCAGCCGCCGCGGUAACACCGGCAGCCCAGGUGGUAGCCACUUUUAUUGGGUCUAAAGCGUCCGUAGCCGGUUGAGUAAGUUCCUUGGGAAAUUUGGCUGCUCAACAGUCAAGCUUCCAGGGAAUACUGCUCGACUUGGGACUGGGAGAGGUCAGAGGUACUCCGAGGGGUAGGGGUGAAAUCCAUUAAUCCCUGGGGACCACCGGUAGCGAAGGCGUCUGACCAGACCAGGUCCGACGGUGAGGGACGAAGGCUAGGGUCGCGAACCGGAUUAGAUACCCCGGUAGU